Molecule: long non-coding RNA, 764 nt
Filed under: Brassica rapa (field mustard)
Lineage: Eukaryota; Viridiplantae; Streptophyta; Magnoliopsida; Brassicales; Brassicaceae
Description: long non-coding RNA (BRAP_LNC000816)
Source: RNAcentral
ACAUUCCUAUAUAUUCUACUCUAUAAUAGAGUAACUCUAUUAUAGAGUAACACCAUUGGAGCAAAAGUUACACUAUAAUAGAGUCACUCUAUUUUUGUGUAAAUUAUAGAGGAAAAAAUAGAGUUUCAAACAUUAAGUUAUAGAGUUUGGUUCUGUCACUAGCAUACACACAUGGGGAUGGUCUAGUGCCGUCUAGCUAUCUCUCUUUAUGGCAAGAAUUUGUUGCAAGAAAAUGACAUGUUUUUUUUUUCUCUUUCUUGGUUGUAUCAGGUGGCAGUGAUAAUGAUGUACUUUAUGUUUUUAACGCAUUUACUGCUAUUGUAGACGGUUUAGUGACUAGGGUCGUCUGAUUUUGUUACUACUUAAAACCUAUAUUUUCAUGAGUUGUUUCUAUUUUGCGGCUCCCAAAUUGGGAAGAAGGCUUGGGGACUAUUUAUUUGAGUAAUACGUGUAAUCUUCGUUAUUAGAUUUACGUGUUUUUAAUACUACUCGUCUCCACUUGAAUUUAUUUUUAUGUAUGAACAAGUCAAAUUUAAAUGUCUUCAAAAAUUGGAAGAUAAGUGUUUUUUUUUUCCGUUUUGUAAAUGUGGGAGUGGUAAUUGAAAAAUGAAUUUCAUAUAAUUCAAAAUUAUACUGACAUCACGAGCGAGUAGCGGACUAUAUAUACAGUAUGUGUAAUAUUUACAAGUAGUUUUAUGAAUCGUCUAAGAGGCGUAUUACCAUAAUUUGUUCCAAAGAAUAGUUGAAGAAAGGCCAAAAUAAAG